This 508-nucleotide ribosomal RNA is filed under the name uncultured bacterium. RNAcentral describes it as "partial 16S ribosomal RNA". It matches the Rfam family "Bacterial small subunit ribosomal RNA", at positions 28 to 507 of the family's 1533-position model. The record is from RNAcentral.
GACGAACGCUGGCGGCGUGCCUAAUACAUGCAAGUCGAACGCUUCUUUCCUCCCGAGUGCUUGCACUCAAUUGGAAAGAGGAGUGGCAGACGGGUGAGUAACACGUGGGUAACCUACCCAUCAGAGGGGGAUAACACUUGGAAACAGGUGCUAAUACCGCAUAACAGUUUAUGCCGCAUGGCAUAAGAGUGAAAGGCGCUUUCGGGUGUCGCUGAUGGAUGGACCCGCGGUGCAUUAGCUAGUUGGUGAGGUAGCGGCUCACCAAGGCCACGAUGCAUAGCCGACCUGAGAGGGUGAUCGGCCACACUGGGACUGAGACACGGCCCAGACUCCUACGGGAGGCAGCAGUAGGGAAUCUUCGGCAAUGGACGAAAGUCUGACCGAGCAACGCCGCGUGAGUGAAGAAGGUUUUCGGAUCGUAAAACUCUGUUGUUAGAGAAGAACAAGGACGUUAGUAACUGAACGUCCCCUGACGGUAUCUAACCAGAAAGCCACGGCUAACUACGUG